UACGUAGGGGGCAAGCGUUGUCCGGAAUCAUUGGGCGUAAAGCGCGUGUAGGCGGCUCGGUAAGUCCGCUCUGAAAGUCCAGGGCUCAACCCUGGGAUGCGGGUGGAUACUGCCGGGCUCGAGUCCGGAAGAGGCGAGUGGAAUUCCCGGUGUAGCAGUGAAAUGCGUAGAUAUCAAGUGGAACACCAGUGGCGAAGGCGAGUCUCUGGACAUUUCCUGACGCUGAGGCACGAAAGCCAGGGGAGCAAACGGG
This 253-nucleotide ribosomal RNA is filed under the name uncultured bacterium. Its description in RNAcentral is "partial 16S ribosomal RNA". It matches the Rfam family "Bacterial small subunit ribosomal RNA", at positions 524 to 776 of the family's 1533-position model. The record is from RNAcentral.